Taeniopygia guttata (zebra finch) is the source of this 3691-nucleotide long non-coding RNA. NCBI's taxonomy places the organism in Eukaryota, Metazoa, Chordata, Aves, Passeriformes, Estrildidae. The record is from Ensembl.
AUGGAUGUGAGGACUGGCCCAGAGCCGUGGGGAAGGGCCCAGAUCCCCAAAGAACAGCAGGGCUGGUGUGGGCGGGCAGGGCAGACUCUGAGGGGCACCAACACCCAGCUGCCACCCCGGGUGACCCAGAGCAGCUCCAGGCUGCCUCAGGAACAGGGAAACGCAGUGUGGGCACCUCCACUCCUCAGUGCCUCUGCUCCUGCACUCUGCAAAUGCCACAACGCAGGAAUUCCCUGCAGCACAUUCCCUGCACAGGGCUGUGAGCAGCCAUUCCCUGCACAUUCCCUGCCCAUUCCCGGCACAUUCCCUGCACCCUGCUCGGCUGAGCCCCGCACAGCUCCCGGCUCCAGCCCCACCGCAGAGGCCCGGAGGAAGGGAAGCGAGGGCCCGGGGCUUCUGCAGCAGGUCCCAGUCCAACAUCUGCUUUCCAUGUUCCCCUGGCCGCGCUCCAGGUGCGCGCAGCACACGCUGGCUGGCUGUCCGUCUGUCUGUCUGCACACAGCAGGGCCCUCUGUCUGCCCCAGCACCGCUGCCACGGAUCAGCAAACCUGGGAGGGGGCACAGAGCAGCUCCCCGAGGGACCCCAGCCCUCGUGCCCUGGGACAGGUCGGGCACAGAGGAGCUGCUGUGAACAGGAGGGAUCCCCACAGUGAACCCCCACAGGGACAGCCCAGCGGGAUCUGGGCAGGGGGCACGGCCCUUCCAGCCGGGCACGGACGGGGCUCCACGGGGCCGGUCACACACCUCGGGGUGCCCAGGGCAGGGCUGCACCCCGCGGGCUCCUCCACCCGACCCGGGGUGCCCAGGGCAGGGCCAAGGCACAUCCCCAUCCCAGGCAGGACGCAGCAGCCAAUACAGAACAGCCAGAAGGUGCAAACACGCAGGGAAACUCAAACUGCCCCGAAUUAAAUUACAGACUCCAUAAUCACUUCAUGCCACAGACUCCACCCCUGGCUCCCCACAGGAGUGGAGGCAAUGCACAGCCACAGGCGGCUCCGAGGUCUCUGCACAGGACGUUUCACACGCAAAAUUCAGUGUUUGCUCCGCUCGAACCGCGCCCAAACACCCAGGAAAUCAUUGCGGUGUCACCCCGUGAAACACAAACUCCCGCCCAAGCAGCCGCGACACACGAGGCUGCAACUGGCCACUAAUUGACAUAAAUUAUCAAGGAAGGGGAAGUUACACCUGGGGCAGCGAACUGCCACAGGAACUUAAAUUAGGCCUUGAAUUAGGCUAAUUAGGCUAACCAGCCCAGGGGAGGUUCAGGGUUAUCGGUAAAAACGUCCCGAGGUUCUGCAGGAAAGCAGCUGAGGGAAAUGCCCAGGCUGGCGGUGCGCGCUGCGGAUGCUCUGCUGUAACCCUGCCCAGUGCCGCCCUCACCUGAGCUCAGGCCCCCGGAGAUGUUGAUACAAGUCUUCUUCAUCCAUGCCAAGUGGUCAAAUGCCUCCUCCUCUGGCGGCUCCAGUAUUGUCUUUAAAAAACUCGCCAUGUGUCUCACCGAAUCUACAGCGGGGGUACGAAGCAGACAAGUUAGUGUUUGGCUGUGUGGCCACAAGGUUUUUUCCCUUUGUUCCCCCUCAGGAAGAGGUCAGGAGUGUGCAAAAAAUCGCCCUAUGAAAGGCCAGUGUCCCUAGAGGAGACGGAGGAGCCCGCAGGUUUACUGGAAUAAAGGGAGAGUCCAUUGGGCCCUACCCCGGGAGGUUUUGGGGGUGCAGCCCCCUUUUAUCCCCAGCUCCCAGCCCUGUGGUGCCCUCUUCCUUUCUCCCUGGGCUGAGGCACUGGGAAGGUGCAGCCCUCCCCACAUCCCCCCUUGGACACGUGGGGAGAGCUCCCCCCAAGGCUGGGAAGUUCUGGGGGGCUCUGCAGGGGACUUUGCACUGACCCCUUUGUCCAUCCCCCUGAGGGGCAGGAGGUCAAACUCGCUGGGUCUGUAACAACCCCGGCAGUGCGAGGCCAGCGGGGACACCGGAACCCAUCGGGGACACCGGGACCUAUCAGGGACACCGGCACCCAUCGGGGACACCAGGGCCCAUCGGGGACACCGGGGACCAUCGGGGACACCGGGGCCCAUCGGGGACAACCGGGACCCAUCGGGGACACCUGGGGACCCCUCGAGCAGUAAGGAAUCAGCACCCGUGCUCCCGCACUGGUUCAGGAGCCCGACUGAAAGCCUGGGGACCCGCCUUGGAGUUUCGGCUGCUGCACCCGGCUCACGGCUCUGGAAAGCACCGCCAGGGGCCGAAGUCACCCGCUCUGAAGAAAAGCCAGGGCUGGAGCUGGUGAGGGAUAUUCCAGCCCCAUCCUCCCUCGCUGUGUGCUCCUUAAACCCGGGCACGAAGGAGCCCUCCCUGUGUGCCCUGUCAGCUGGGCAGGAGAUGCUGCGGGCACCGGGACAGCCUGCAGGGCUGGGCAGGAGAUGCUGCGGGCACCGGGACAGCCUGCAGAGCUGGGCAGGGGAUGCUGCGGGACCGGGACAGCCUGCAGAGCUGGGCAGAGGACACGGGCCGGGCUGCAGACCCUCCCGGGCCCCCUGCCCGUGCCCGCUGUCGCUGCUGGCUGCCAGCCUCGCCAGCCCCGCUCGCCCCGCCGUACCGGGAUGCCGAGCACGGGGCAGGGCGGCGGCUGCUGGAACCGAGGGCCCGGGACACACCCCGGAACGCAGCGCCGGUGCUGUGACACCACAAAGCACCCCCAGCCCCGCUGGAGGGGGAGGGGACGCCCAGCCCAGCUCUUUUAUCCCCCAGCCUCCUCCUCAGCCAGUGCCAGCAGCUGAGCCCACCCCAGCUACCCCCGCACACCCUAAAAUCAGGGGAUUUUGAGGUCUGCGGUUGGGGGGAUUCCUCCGUUCCUGGGCUCCAGCUGGCUCAGCCAGGGGCUGUGGGGGCUCCCAGGGCACUCGGUGCUCCCGAGCUCGUUUCCUUAGGAAACCAGCCCAAAAUCAGCCUGGCUGUCUCCAGCUGUUCCUGCUGUCCUGCGCAUGGCCCUUGUACGGCCUCAUCUGCCUCCAAGUGUUUCUGUGCCCUGGAACGCCACCUCCACAUCCUCUCCACCAGGAUGUGCCUUUUCCUGGGCAGCGGGCACGAGUCCUGCAGGGAUCCCCAGCGUGGGUACAGUUUGUUGUAUGGUUUUUACAACAAACCGGAGCUUGUGAUCCCUCCCAGAGCUUCCCGUUUGCUCCUCCGUGGGAGGAUCCCGCUCCCCAGGGAAUUCGGGGGUUUCGUCCUGCCCCUGAUCCUCUUUGGGGGUGCUCUGCCGGGGCUGCCGUGCUCGCCCUCCUGCUGCCCGUGUGGGGACACGAGGGGACAGGAGGGGACAGGAGGGGAGCAGCUCUCCCUGCAGCCCCGCUCUGUGCCGUCCCCUGUCCCCUGCAGGCACAGCACAGAGCUUUUCCCCCUGAACCGCGGAGCCCCGUGGCAGGAGCUGAUUUUCCCCGCAGCCGGUGGCGAUGGCUCCCCGCGGGCCCCGGGCUGUGGUUCCUGCCCGGCUGGCUCGGGUGGCAUCGGGAUGCUCGCGGUGGCUGCAGCCGCGUCUCUGGCAGCAAGCAGCGAGUUUGGGAAGUGUGUCAUGCAGGCUGUGUGCCAUGGGAGCCCGGGGGAUGGCCGGGCAGGGGGACGGCCGGAACACCCGGGCACGGCGGCUCCGAGCCCGGGGCACAGGGCUGGCAGUGCCCAGGGACUGGCAGUGCCGGGGG